GGGGACAUAGCUCAGCUGGGAGAGCAACAGACUGAAGUGGACGCGUUAUUCUUGAUUUUCUGGAGGUCCCCAGUUCGAUCCUGGGUGUCCCCA
This is a non-coding RNA of Hymenopellis radicata, 93 nucleotides long. The record is from the annotation of a GenBank genome assembly. NCBI's taxonomy places the organism in Eukaryota, Fungi, Basidiomycota, Agaricomycetes, Agaricales, Physalacriaceae.